ACAAGUUACCCUACGGAUAACAGCGUAAUCCUAUUCUAGAGUCCAUAUAGACAAUAGGGUUUACGACCUCAAUGUCGGAUGAGGACAUCCUAAUGGUGUAGCUGCUAUUAAGGGUUCAUUUGUUCAACAAUUAAAGUCCUACGUGAUUUGAGUUCAGACUGGAGUAAUCCAGGUCGGUUUCUAUCUAUUUAAUAUUUCUGCUAGUACAAAAGGACAAGAGAAAUAGGGCCCACUUCAUAAAGCACCCUCGCCUCAUAGAUGAUACUAUCUCAAUUAACAACAUGACCAAACA
Molecule: long non-coding RNA, 292 nt
Organism: Nomascus leucogenys (northern white-cheeked gibbon)
Lineage: Eukaryota; Metazoa; Chordata; Mammalia; Primates; Hylobatidae
Exons: 3
Source: RefSeq, a predicted model, not a curated record